This 654-nucleotide ribosomal RNA is filed under the name uncultured bacterium. RNAcentral's name for it is "bacterial SSU rRNA". It matches the Rfam family "Bacterial small subunit ribosomal RNA", at positions 916 to 1533 of the family's 1533-position model. The record is from RNAcentral.
GGGCCCCGCACAAGCCGUGGAGGCAUGUGGUUUAAUUCGACGCACCGCGCAGAACCUUACCAACCCUUGACAUGUCUCGUAUGGUUUCCAGAGAUGGAUUCCUUCAGUUCGGCUGGCGAGAACACAGGUGUUGCAUGGCUGUCGUCAGCUCGUGUCGUGAGAUGUUGGGUUAAGUCCCGCAACGAGCGCAACCCUCGCCUUUAGUUGCCAUCAUUUAGUUGGGCACUCUAGAGGGACUGCCGGUGAUAAGCCGGAGGAAGGUGGGGAUGACGUCAAGUCCUCAUGGCCCUUACGGGUUGGGCUACACACGUGCUACAAUGGCGGCGACAAUGGGCAGCGAAGGGGCGACCCGGUGCAAAUCCCAAAAAGCUGUCUCAGUUCGGAUUGUACUCUGCAACUCGAGUGCAUGAAGGUGGAAUCGCUAGUAAUCGCGUAACAGCAUGACGCGGUGAAUACGUUCCCGGGCCUUGUACACACCGCCCGUCACACCAUGGGAGUUGGUUUUACCCGAAGCUGGUGCGCUAACCGCAAGGAGGCAGCCAACCACGGUAAGGUCAGCGACUGGGGUGAAGUCGUAACAAGGUAGCCCUAGGGGAACCUGGGGCUGGAUCACCUCCUUAAGGUGAAUCCCGGGAAUCGAAUUCCUGUGUGGAA